Molecule: ribosomal RNA, 406 nt
Filed under: uncultured Alphaproteobacteria bacterium
Lineage: Bacteria; Pseudomonadati; Pseudomonadota; Alphaproteobacteria
Description: bacterial SSU rRNA
Rfam family: Bacterial small subunit ribosomal RNA
Source: RNAcentral
UGGGGAAUCUUGGACAAUGGGGGAAACCCUGAUCUAGCCAUGCCGCGUGAGUGAUGAAGGCCCUAGGGUCGUAAAGCUCUUUCGCCAGGGAUGAUAAUGACAGUACCUGGCAAAGAAACCCCGGACUAACUCCGUGCCAGCAGCCGCGGUAAUACGGAUGGGGUUAGCGUUGUUCGUACUUACUGGGCGAAAAGCGCACGUAAUUAGAGUAGUUAGUCAGAGGUGAAAUCCCAGGGCUCAACCCUGGAACUGCCUUUGAUACUGCUAGUCUUGAGUUCGAGAGAGGUGAGUGGAAUUCCGAGGGUAGAGGUGAAAUUCGUAGAUAUUCGGAGGAACACCAUGUGGCGAAGGCGGCUCACUGGUUCGAUACUGACGCUGAUGUGCUGAAAGUGUGGUGAGCAAACAG